GUUGACUGCCGGCCGCUCUCCGCUCUCCGCUCUGCGGUCGCCAUGCACGGCCGACUGAAGGUCCGCCCUCCGGACGCCGCCCGCCGCCGCCAACGGAGGAGAAACUCCGCCUCUUUCGCGCCAACAUGGCCGCCCUGCUGGAGAAGGCGGGGCGUUGCCAGGACGACGCGGAGGCUGCUGACGCUGACGGGGGCGGUGGCUGGAGGCCAACCCGGACGUGGGGACCGCCUGGAACGUCCGCAGGGCGGCGUGCUGCGGAGGGGCGGUGAUUGGGUGUCCGAGGAGCUGAGCUUUGUGGGGCGCUGCCUGGGGGUGAACCCCCAAAUCCUAUGGCGCGUGGGCACCACCGCGGGUGGGUGCUGAGGGCUCACCCCGACCCCAGCGCCGAGAGGGGGCUCUGCGAGCGCCUCCUGGAGGCCGACCCCAGGAACUGUGAGAU
RNAcentral lists this long non-coding RNA (439 nucleotides) under Gallus gallus (chicken). The record is from RNAcentral. Lineage: Eukaryota; Metazoa; Chordata; Aves; Galliformes; Phasianidae.